This 804-nucleotide small RNA is filed under the name Olea europaea subsp. europaea. Lineage: Eukaryota; Viridiplantae; Streptophyta; Magnoliopsida; Lamiales; Oleaceae. The record is from RNAcentral.
GAAUCACCAUAUUUGACUUUCUAUCUUUUGUAUGAUGCUCGUAACGGCUAUAUUUUUCAUUCUCAUUUUUACAUUAAUGUAUACCAAACGGGACAAUAAUUCUAAAUUUAAAUUGUAUUUUAAAAAUUUGAAAUUAUAUUUAAAAAUUUGAAACGGGGCAGAAAAAGGAGAUUCUGUAAUAACCACCCCGUCCUCACCUCGCCUUCCGAAAAUCCUCAAUGGAAAGGGAUGGUAAUGGCCGAUCUAGCCCCCUUGCCAUCCUUAGAGCCAAAUCCAUUCUUUAUAUAACAAUUGGGAAAAACCGUAACUACCAUACUUUAAUAUUACGUAUUUAUAAAAUAUCAAAGUUUGAGAAACUUUUCAUAAUUUAAGAUUUUUUUAUCAAAAUAGAUAAUACUUGAUUUUAUAUAAAUAAGUCACCUCGGUUGUUGGUUACUAAUGGUUAUGACUUUUCUCUCUCUCAUCAUAUUUCUUCUCUAAAUAUUGGAAUGUGCUAUUUGCACAGGGUCCUGUGCACAGCCUGUGCACAGGAGCCUGUGCAAGAAGAAAUAUCCCUAAAUAUUUGCACGCAGUUAUUGAUAUGUGUGUGUGUGUGUGUGAUUUCUUGUGAAUGGCAUUAGAUUAAUAUUAAAAGUUAUAUUUGACCAUUGAUAUUUAAGCAUGUAAAGUUAAUAUGUGAAAGCGAUUCUACGCAAUGAGAUUAUUGUAUUGGUUAUAUAGUUCACAAAAUUUUUCAAUUGAGACCUACAUAACAUGCAAAAUUGUAACAUAUAUAUUAUGUAACUAUAUUUAUGUGACAUGUGA